AUGGAAGGAGAGGCUCGGGGACAUGAACGAAAGCUCUUAUCCAAAUCAGAAACAGCUGACAGAGUAACAGAGAAAUGGCCAAGAAGACAUCUGGAUGGAGUGACACCUGAUGACAGGAAGCACAACCAGAGAACUUACUCCAGCAUGGUGACUAUCAUGGAAGGAGAUUCUACUGCAAUCUCCAAUGGAAUGGCAGCACUGAAGAAAUCACUCCUGGGAAAAAAAAAAGAAAAAGAAAAAAAAAGAAUUAUUACAUUACUCUCAGACAUCCUAGGAGAACUCCCACAGAUGUCUGUGAGAAUAGCAGCACAGGUUAGGGAACAAAUAUGGAAAGACAGGGCUUUUCAUCAAGAAGAAAAUGCAUGUAGUACUCUCCAAACUUAAAUCAGAAAUUUUGUAUGUGCUGCAGGAUUUAUGUUCAGCUGAGCCCUUCCAAGUUAAAGAAGAUACACAAAACUGAGUAAAAGAUGGAAAUAAAUCCUUGUAAAAGUCACCCA
Molecule: long non-coding RNA, 497 nt
Organism: Phasianus colchicus (ring-necked pheasant)
Lineage: Eukaryota; Metazoa; Chordata; Aves; Galliformes; Phasianidae
Source: Ensembl